Herpailurus yagouaroundi (jaguarundi) is the source of this 847-nucleotide long non-coding RNA. RefSeq lists it as uncharacterized. The record is from RefSeq and is a predicted model, not a curated record. Lineage: Eukaryota; Metazoa; Chordata; Mammalia; Carnivora; Felidae. The transcript is spliced from 3 exons.
UCUUCCUGACCUCUACUCUUAAUCUUUCCUGCUCCAACUGAAGCAAAUUCCCUCUCAUCCUGUCUUCGGGGCAAGCCUGUGAUGGCCAAAAAGCCUGCCGGGAUGAGGAAAUCUGCAGCAGGAGGCUGGAAGUAGAGUAACCAUCUUGGGAGCAGAAGACAACAAAGCCACAAGCUAAGGAUCAUGGAGCAGAAGGAGGAAAGGAGCCUAGAACGCUGAUGCCACCUUGGAGCUCCUGCAAAGACUUGGACUUCUUGGCACCUUCUGUGUGAAGAAAUUUGGGUAUACCAUCUGAUUUCAUCCUCACAGCAGCCCCAUGAAAAAUAUUAUUCUCUCUGCUUCAGAGAUGAGGAAACUGAGAUUCAGAUUGUUUAAGUACCUUGCCCAAAGCCACACUGCUGCUAAAUGAUGGAGCAAAAAUUCAAACCCAAGGUUCGCUUUGGAAACCCCGUCUUCUUCAGGAUGCCACCUCCUUUGGUGGUGUCAUGGACCCAGCCCACAGACCACCUGGAGGAAUCCCAAAUGUCAUCCUCUGAGAAUUGAUGUGCUUUCAUCUCUCUCUGGACCUGGUCCAAUGACCUUUUCAAACCCCGAAAUCUUAGAAAAGUCUGCUCUGUUAACUGAAUCUUUACCCAAAGUUCAGACCAUCUAGAGAAAAUCACAGUCCCUUGCUUGUGUUGCUUUCUUCAAAUCCCAGUUUUCCUGCACUGAGAUACUACCAAGAGAUCCUGGGAAAACCUCUGAACUCUAGACUCCUCACUAUUAAAUAAGGAUCUAGGGGCACCUGGGUGGUUCUGUCCGUUAAGCAUCUGACUUUGGCUCAGGUCACAAUCUCACGGUUUGUGGG